UACGGAGGAUGCAAGCGUUAUCCGGAUUCAUUGGGUUUAAAGGGUGCGUAGGCGGAAUAAUAAGUCAGUGGUGAAAGCCUGCGGCUUAACCGUAGAAUUGCCGUUGAUACUGUUAUUCUUGAGUAUAGUUGAAGUGGGCGGAAUGUGUAAUGUAGCGGUGAAAUGCUUAGAGAUUACACAGAACACCAAUUGCGAAGGCAGCGCGCUAAACUGUUACUGACGAUGAGGCGCGAAAGAGUGGGGAGCAAACAGG
Molecule: ribosomal RNA, 253 nt
Filed under: uncultured bacterium
Lineage: Bacteria
Description: partial 16S ribosomal RNA
Rfam family: Bacterial small subunit ribosomal RNA
Source: RNAcentral